UUGAAACUCAAAGGAAUUGACGGGGGCCCGCACAAGCAGUGGAGUAUGUGGAUUAAUUCGAUGCAACGCGAAGAACCUUACCAGGUCUUGACAUUCCGCUAACGAAGUAGAGAUACAUUAGGUGCCCUUCGGGGAAAGCGGAGACAGGUGGUGCAUGGUUGUCGUCAGCUCGUGUCGUGAGAUGUUGGGUUAAGUCCCGCAACGAGCGCAACCCUUACUGUUAGUCGCUACGCAAGAGCACUCUAGCAGGACCGCCGUUGGCAAAACGGAGGAAGGUGGGGAUGAUGUCAAAUCAUCAUGCCCCUUAUGACCUGGGCCUCACACGUACUACAAUGGCCAUCAACAGAGGGAAGUAAAGCCGCGAGGCAGAGCAAAACCCUAAAAAUGGUCUCAGUUCGGAUCGUAGGCUGAAACCCGCCUGCGUGAAGUUGGAAUUGCUAGUAAUCGCGGAUCAGCAUGCCGCGGUGAAUACGUUCCCGGGUCUUGUACACACCGCCCGUCACACCAUGGGAGUCGGAAAUGCCC
RNAcentral lists this ribosomal RNA (525 nucleotides) under uncultured Bacillota bacterium. RNAcentral's name for it is "bacterial SSU rRNA". It matches the Rfam family "Bacterial small subunit ribosomal RNA", at positions 894 to 1422 of the family's 1533-position model. The record is from RNAcentral. Lineage: Bacteria; Bacillati; Bacillota.